RNAcentral lists this ribosomal RNA (758 nucleotides) under uncultured bacterium. Its description in RNAcentral is "bacterial SSU rRNA". It matches the Rfam family "Bacterial small subunit ribosomal RNA", at positions 8 to 794 of the family's 1533-position model. The record is from RNAcentral.
AGAGUUUGAUCAUGGCUCAGGAUGAACGCUGGCGGCGUGCCUAACACAUGCAAGUCGAGCGAUUCUCUUCGGAGAAGAGCGGCGGACGGGUGAGUAACGCGUGGGUAACCUGCCCUGUACACACGGAUAACAUACCGAAAGGUAUGCUAAUACGAGAUAACAUAAGAAAUUCGCAUGUUUUUCUUAUCAAAGCUCCGGCGGUACAGGAUGGACCCGCGUCUGAUUAGCUAGUUGGUGAGGUAAUGGCUCACCAAGGCGACGAUCAGUAGCCGACCUGAGAGGGUGAUCGGCCACAUUGGAACUGAGACACGGUCCAAACUCCUACGGGAGGCAGCAGUGGGGAAUAUUGCACAAUGGGCGAAAGCCUGAUGCAGCAACGCCGCGUGAGCGAUGAAGGCCUUCGGGUCGUAAAGCUCUGUCCUCAAGGAAGAUAAUGACGGUACUUGAGGAGGAAGCCCCGGCUAACUACGUGCCAGCAGCCGCGGUAAUACGUAGGGGGCUAGCGUUAUCCGGAUUUACUGGGCGUAAAGGGUGCGUAGGCGGUCUUUUAAGUCAGGAGUGGAAGGCUACGGCUCAACCGUAGUAAGCUCUUGAAACUGGAGGACUUGAGUGCAGGAGAGGAGAGUGGAAUUCCUAGUGUAGCGGUGAAAUGCGUAGAUAUUAGGAGGAACACCAGUAGCGAAGGCGGCUCUCUGGACUGUAACUGACGCUGAGGCGCGAAAGUGUGGGGAGCAAACAGGAUUAGAUACCCUGGUAGU